This 392-nucleotide unclassified non-coding RNA is filed under the name soil metagenome. RNAcentral describes it as "partial contains 5.8S ribosomal RNA, internal transcribed spacer 2, and large subunit ribosomal RNA". The stretch from base 1 to 122 matches the Rfam family "5.8S ribosomal RNA", at positions 35 to 154 of the family's 154-position model. The record is from RNAcentral.
GAUGAAGAACGCAGCGAAAUGCGAUACUUGGUGUGAAUUGCAGAAUCCCGUGAACCAUCGAGUCUUUGAACGCAAGUUGCGCCCGAAGCCAUUAGGCCGAGGGCACGCCUGCCUGGGCGUCACACGUCGUUGCCCCCCCAUCUACUCCUUCGGGAUUGCGGGGGGCGGAUGAUGGCCUCCCGUGCGCCUCGUCGCGCGGUUGGCAUAAAAUGCCAAGUCCUCGGCGACGCACGCCACGACAAUCGGUGGUUGCGAAACCUCGGUUGCCCGUCGUGUGCGGUCGUCGCGCAUCGAGGGCUCGAAAAAAUUGCCGGGCUCCGGCUCGGCUUUCAACGCGACCCCAGGUCAGGCGGGGUUACCCGCUGAAUUUAAGCAUAUCAAUAAGCGGAGGA